RNAcentral lists this ribosomal RNA (253 nucleotides) under uncultured bacterium. RNAcentral's name for it is "partial 16S ribosomal RNA". It matches the Rfam family "Bacterial small subunit ribosomal RNA", at positions 524 to 776 of the family's 1533-position model. The record is from RNAcentral.
UACAGAGGUCUCGAGCGUUAGUCGGAAUCACUGGGCUUAAAGCGUGCGUAGGCGGAUGUGCAGGCGUCGUGUGAAAGCCCUCGGCUCAACCGGGGAAUUGCACGGCGAACCGCACGUCUCGAGACAAGUAGGGGCGGCCGGAACGAUAGGUGGAGUGGUGAAAUGCGUUGAUAUCCGAAGGAACACCGGUGGCGAAAGCGGCUCACUGGGUAUUUUCUGACGCUGAUGCACGAAAGCUAGGGGAGCAAACGGG